UCUAUUUCUCCUAUUAGUUCAACAGAAAAAAGUACCUUUACAAAAAUGUAUGCUUCUUUCGAAGGCAGAUUGUGAGCGUAAAUAAACGGUGACCCCAUUUUUUAAUAAUUUUUUUUCUAUUUAGUAUAAGAUAAAGUUUAUUUAUAGAAAAAUAUAGCAAAAUCCUAUAUUAAGACAAAAAAAUGAUUUAGACCCGCGAGCC
RNAcentral lists this long non-coding RNA (202 nucleotides) under Mytilus galloprovincialis (Mediterranean mussel). Lineage: Eukaryota; Metazoa; Mollusca; Bivalvia; Mytilida; Mytilidae. The record is from RNAcentral.